AUUGUUCUGAAACUCUCCUGGCCGGUUUUCCUGCAUCCUUGGUGAAGUUUCUCUCUCAUAUACUCAUACGUCCAGAAGUAGACACCAUGGGAUGGUCCAUCCCUUAGCACAGUGAUGGUGAAACCUCGCUGAAGACGGAUUUUCACUAGCUCAAUGGGACUGAUAAUUACACUUUGUAUUACCCCGGCUCCAAUUCCUCCUAGAGUAACCCCUGUGUAUGAUGGAGGGUCACCAGCCUGAACAUUCGUGUCAACUGCUCGUGAUAGUGUAGCGUAUGUCUUGAAAACUAUGGCAUUCUGCAGUUUGAAGCUAAGUUUUUUGGUUUCGCCCCCAUUGGACUUCCAUCCUGGGUCCGCUACUGCGGGGAACAUAAAUUGAAUGAUAAAAUGAAAGAAGAACAAGAACC
Molecule: long non-coding RNA, 406 nt
Organism: Olea europaea var. sylvestris
Lineage: Eukaryota; Viridiplantae; Streptophyta; Magnoliopsida; Lamiales; Oleaceae
Exons: 3
Source: RefSeq, a predicted model, not a curated record